GACGAGUGGCGGACGGGUGAGUAAUGCUUGGGAAUCUGGCUUAUGGAGGGGGAUAACUGUGGGAAACUGCAGCUAAUACCGCGUAUUCUCUGAGGAGGAAAGGGUGGGACCUUAGGGCCACCUGCCAUAAGAUGAGCCCAAGUGGGAUUAGGUAGUUAGUGGGGUAAAGGCCUACCAAGCCUGCGAUCUCUAGCUGGUCUGAGAGGAUGACCAGCCACACUGGAACUGAGACACGGUCCAGACUCCUACGGGAGGCAGCAGUGGGGAAUAUUGCGCAAUGGGGGGAACCCUGACGCAGCCAUGCCGCGUGAAUGAAGAAGGCCUUCGGGUUGUAAAGUUCUUUCGGUAAUGAGGAAGGGAUGUUGUUAAAUAGAUAGCAUCAUUGACGUUAAUUACAGAAGAAGCACCGGCUAACUCCGUGCCAGCAGCCGCGGUAAUACGGAGGGUGCGAGCGUUAAUCGGAAUAACUGGGCGUAAAGGGCACGCAGGCGGACUUUUAAGUGAGAUGUGAAAUCCCCGAGCUUAACUUGGGAACUGCAUUUCAGACUGGGAGUCUAGAGUACUUUAGGGAGGGGUAGAAUUCCACGUGUAGCGGUGAAAUGCGUAGAGAUGUGGAGGAAUACCGAAGGCG
This 631-nucleotide ribosomal RNA is filed under the name uncultured Pasteurella sp. RNAcentral's name for it is "bacterial SSU rRNA". It matches the Rfam family "Bacterial small subunit ribosomal RNA", at positions 90 to 717 of the family's 1533-position model. The record is from RNAcentral. Lineage: Bacteria; Pseudomonadati; Pseudomonadota; Gammaproteobacteria; Pasteurellales; Pasteurellaceae.